RNAcentral lists this microRNA precursor (149 nucleotides) under Physcomitrium patens. Its description in RNAcentral is "Physcomitrella patens miR529g stem-loop (ppt-MIR529g)". Its record names the gene ppt-MIR529g. The record is from miRBase by way of RNAcentral. Lineage: Eukaryota; Viridiplantae; Streptophyta; Bryopsida; Funariales; Funariaceae.
UCACCUUUUUCUACAUUCAAGCUGGGGUUCGAAGAGAGAGAGCACAGUCCCAGACUUUUCACUCACGACCACUUUGAGUGUCUUAUGGUGAACAGUAGUCGGGCUGUACUCUCUCUUUUCCAGUCCCUACUCGAAUGUGUUUCUAUCGC